Molecule: long non-coding RNA, 775 nt
Organism: Parambassis ranga (Indian glassy fish)
Lineage: Eukaryota; Metazoa; Chordata; Actinopteri; Ambassidae
Source: Ensembl
CUCUCAUACCAAGCCGGCAGGUAUAAGGUGGCAACCACGCUGCGUGCGUCAGCUGCGUAUCCUGCGCGCUCAUUACGCACAGACUCCGGUGUGAGGCAGGUGUAGUCCUGGACCCACCCACAAGCCAAACUCUUGUCAGGCAGAAGUUGCCCUCUGUCAGUCGGCAGCAGAGCACCUCGGAGGGGGGAAACAUUAGCAGUCUCCAGAAUUCCAGCAUAAGAAAAAAGACUUCCCUGCAUCUCUGGACAAACUACGGCAGCUGAUAGAGGACAGCGUUCACAUCCUACAAUCACCCAUCACUGAAAACCAGCAGGGUUUGGUGUGUGAGGACAACGCAGGAGGAGAAGGAGUGUGGAGGUUUGCCGUACUAAGUCAACAACUGACCUUUCACCUCCAGCAGCUACAGAGACAAACGGAGCAGGAACUCAGCAACAUACAAACACAACUCCUUCAGAUUGAUGGCCGCCAGCAGCUGCUAACCACUCAGCUGUAUGAUCUUGAGGAGAAGAAGAAACAGACAGAAGAAGAGCUGAAGAGAAGUUGCUGCCUUCAGACGUCCACUUUUAAACUGAACACUUGUCGGGAGCUUCAGACGUCCAUCACAGACUGUUUGGUCCAAUCUGAGAGACUGGUGUUUCAGGAGAAGGCACUGAGCACGCUCAGUAAACUGCUGACCGAAGACCUGCUGAGGUAUCGGGAAGAGACGCAAAGACUGGACUGUUUCACACAGAAAAUACACAGGGAGUCACACGGGUACCCAGAACAUUACACACAC